This 468-nucleotide ribosomal RNA is filed under the name uncultured bacterium. Its description in RNAcentral is "partial 16S ribosomal RNA". It matches the Rfam family "Bacterial small subunit ribosomal RNA", at positions 28 to 507 of the family's 1533-position model. The record is from RNAcentral.
GACGAACGCUGGCGGCGUGCUUAACACAUGCAAGUCGAACGGAAAGGCCCUGCUUUUGUGGGGUGCUCGAGUGGCGAACGGGUGAGUAACACGUGAGUAACCUGCCCUUGACUUUGGGAUAACUUCAGGAAACUGGGGCUAAUACCGGAUAGGAGCUCCUGCUGCAUGGUGGGGGUUGGAAAGUUUCGGCGGUUGGGGAUGGACUCGCGGCUUCUCCGCUUGUUGGUGGGGUAGUGGCUUACCAAGGCUUUGACGGGUAGCCGGCCUGAGAGGGGGACCGGCGACAUGGGGACUGAGAUACGGCCCAGACGCCUACGGGAGGCAGCGGGGGGGAAUAUGGCGCAAUGGGGGGAAGCCUGAUGCAGCAACGCCGCGUGCGGGAUGACGGCCUUCGGGGUGUAAACCGCUUUCGCCUGUGACGAAGCGUGAGUGACGGUAAUGGGUAAAGAAGCACCGGCUAACUACGUG